UAGAAAGUAGAAACUCGAUUUCUACCUUGGGCGAUUUCGCAAAAUACAGUAGCAGCGGAAGGCAAGCAGCAUCGGAAAUCCUUGGGCGAUUUCACGAUUUCAGACUUCAGUAGCAGCGGAAGGCGGAAGCAGGCAAGCCUUAAGUUUAUGAUUUCACGAUUUUAGUAGUAUUUGGGGUUUAGGGUUUUUUAUUUAAUUGGGUAUUUUUUAUAAGGUCCUUAAGUUUUAAAAAAAUAAUAGAAUUCAUUUAAACUUUUUCAAUUUUAAUAUUUUCACCUUGGGUAAAUGGAUCGGGUUUAGCCGGAUCC
Molecule: long non-coding RNA, 308 nt
Filed under: Zostera marina
Lineage: Eukaryota; Viridiplantae; Streptophyta; Magnoliopsida; Alismatales; Zosteraceae
Description: long non-coding RNA (ZMAR_LNC006077)
Source: RNAcentral